This 492-nucleotide ribosomal RNA is filed under the name uncultured bacterium. RNAcentral describes it as "partial 16S ribosomal RNA". It matches the Rfam family "Bacterial small subunit ribosomal RNA", at positions 29 to 507 of the family's 1533-position model. The record is from RNAcentral.
AGUGAACGCUGGCGGUAGGCCUAACACAUGCAAGUCGAACGGCAGCACAGUAAGAGCUUGCUCUUACGGGUGGCGAGUGGCGGACGGGUGAGGAGUACAUCGGACUCUACUUUUUCGUGGGGCAUAACGUAGGUAAACUUACGCCAAUACCGCAUACGACCUACGGUUGAAAGCAGUGGAUCUUCGUACCUUGCGCGAUUGAAUGAGCCGAUGUCGGAUUAGCUAGUUGGCGGGGUAAAGACCCACCAAGGCGACGAUCCGUAGCUGGUCUGAGAGGAGGAUAGGCCACACUGGAGCGGGAACACGCUCAAGACUCCUGAGAGAGGGAGCAGUGGGGAAAAGGGGACAGUGGGCGGGAGCAUGACACAGCCAGAGCGCGUGGGUGAAAGAAACCUUCGGGUUGUGAAGACCUUUUGUGGGGUAAGAAAAGCAGCAGGUUAAUACCAAGCGGUAGUGACGGUACCCAAAGAAGAAGCACCGGCUAACUUCGUG